UACGUAGGUGGCGAGCGUUGUCCGGAUUUACUGGGCGUAAAGGGAGCGUAGGCGGACUUUUAAGUUAGAUGUGAAAUACUCGGGCUCAACUUGAGUGCUGCAUUUCAAACUGGAAGUCUAGAGUGCAGGAGAGGAGAAUGGAAUUCCUAGUGUAGCGGUGAAAUGCGUAGAGAUUAGGAAGAACACCAGUGGCGAAGGCGAUUCUCUGGACUGUAACUGACGCUGAGGCUCGAAAGCGUGGGGAGCAAACAGG
This 253-nucleotide ribosomal RNA is filed under the name uncultured bacterium. Its description in RNAcentral is "partial 16S ribosomal RNA". It matches the Rfam family "Bacterial small subunit ribosomal RNA", at positions 524 to 776 of the family's 1533-position model. The record is from RNAcentral.